RNAcentral lists this ribosomal RNA (331 nucleotides) under Amanita sp. 'albemarlensis'. Its description in RNAcentral is "eukaryotic LSU rRNA". It matches the Rfam family "Eukaryotic large subunit ribosomal RNA", at positions 1 to 313 of the family's 3401-position model. The record is from RNAcentral. Lineage: Eukaryota; Fungi; Basidiomycota; Agaricomycetes; Agaricales; Amanitaceae.
UGACCUCAAAUCAGGUAGGAUUACCCGCUGAACUUAAGCAUAUCAAUAAGCGGAGGAAAAGAAACUAACAAGGAUUCCCUUAGUAACUGCGAGUGAAGUGGGAAAAGCUCAAAUUUAAAAUCUGGCAGUCUGAUUUUAUAUCUUUGGCUGUCCGAGUUGUAAUCUAGAGAAGUGCUACCUGUACUGGACCAUGUAUAAGUCUCCUGGGAUGGAGCAUCAUAGAGGGUGAGAAUCCCGUCUUUGACAUGGACUGCCAGUGUGUUGUGGUGUACUUUCAAAGAGUCGAGUUGUUUGGGAAUGCAGCUCUAAAUGGGUGGUAAACUCCAUCUAA